This 1184-nucleotide ribosomal RNA is filed under the name Enterococcus faecalis. RNAcentral's name for it is "partial 23S ribosomal RNA". It matches the Rfam family "Bacterial large subunit ribosomal RNA", at positions 345 to 1530 of the family's 2925-position model. Lineage: Bacteria; Bacillati; Bacillota; Bacilli; Lactobacillales; Enterococcaceae. The record is from RNAcentral.
GAAAAUUCCGCUAAAGAGGGUGAAAGCCCCGUAGACGAAAUGCUGACAACACCUAGGAGGAUCCUGAGUACGGCGGAACACGAGAAAUUCCGUCGGAAUCCGCGGGGACCAUCCCGCAAGGCUAAAUACUCCCUAGUGACCGAUAGUGAACCAGUACCGUGAGGGAAAGGUGAAAAGCACCCCGGAAGGGGAGUGAAAUAGAUCCUGAAACCGUGUGCCUACAACAAGUCAAAGCUCGUUAAUGAGUGAUGGCGUGCCUUUUGUAGAAUGAACCGGCGAGUUACGAUUGCAUGCGAGGUUAAGUCGAAGAGACGGAGCCGCAGCGAAAGCGAGUCUGAAUAGGGCGAAUGAGUAUGUAGUCGUAGACCCGAAACCAUGUGAUCUACCCAUGUCCAGGUUGAAGGUGCGGUAAAACGCACUGGAGGACCGAACCCACGUACGUUGAAAAGUGCGGGGAUGAGGUGUGGGUAGCGGAGAAAUUCCAAACGAACUUGGAGAUAGCUGGUUCUCUCCGAAAUAGCUUUAGGGCUAGCCUCGGAAUUGAGAAUGAUGGAGGUAGAGCACUGUUUGGACUAGGGGCCCAUCUCGGGUUACCGAAUUCAGAUAAACUCCGAAUGCCAUUCAUUUAUAUCCGGGAGUCAGACUGCGAGUGAUAAGAUCCGUAGUCGAAAGGGAAACAGCCCAGACCACCAGCUAAGGUCCCAAAAUAUAUGUUAAGUGGAAAAGGAUGUGGGGUUGCACAGACAACUAGGAUGUUGGCUUAGAAGCAGCCACCAUUUAAAGAGUGCGUAAUAGCUCACUAGUCGAGUGACCCUGCGCCGAAAAUGUACCGGGGCUAAACAUAUUACCGAAGCUGUGGACUACACCAUUAGGUGUAGUGGUAGGAGAGCGUUCUAAGGGCGUUGAAGGUCGAUCGUGAGGACGGCUGGAGCGCUUAGAAGUGAGAAUGCCGGUAUGAGUAGCGAAAGACAGGUGAGAAUCCUGUCCACCGUAUGACUAAGGUUUCCUGGGGAAGGCUCGUCCGCCCAGGGUUAGUCGGGACCUAAGCCGAGGCCGAUAGGCGUAGGCGAUGGACAACAGGUUGAUAUUCCUGUACCAGUUGUUUUUGUUUGAGCAAUGGAGGGACGCAGUAGGCUAAGGAAUGCAUGCGAUUGGAAGUGCAUGUCCAAGCAAUGAGUCUUGAG